GACGGGCCCCGCACAAGCAGCGGAGCGUGUGGUUUAAUUCGUUGCUACACGAAGAACCUUACCUGGGUUUGACAUAAUGGUGGUAGGGAUCCGAAAGGUGACCGACCUUCGGGGAGCCAUUUACAGGUGUUGCAUGGCUGUCGUCAGCUCGUGUCGUGAGAUGUUCGGUUAAGUCCGCUAACGAGCGCAACCCUCGCUGUGUGUUAUAUGUGUCACACAGGACUGCUGGUAUUAAGCCGGAGGAAGGUGGGACGACGUCAAGUCAGCAUGACCUUUAUAUCCAGGGCUACACACACGCUACAAUGGUCAGUACAAUGGGUUGCCAAGCCGCGAGGCGGAGCCAAUCCUAAAAAGCUGGCCUCAGUUCAGAUUGCAGUCUGAAACUCGACUGCAUGAAGUCGGAGUUGCUAGUAAACGCAGGUCAGCUAUACUGCGUUGAAUACGUUCCCGGGGCUU
RNAcentral lists this ribosomal RNA (456 nucleotides) under uncultured Anaerolineaceae bacterium. RNAcentral describes it as "bacterial SSU rRNA". It matches the Rfam family "Bacterial small subunit ribosomal RNA", at positions 916 to 1381 of the family's 1533-position model. The record is from RNAcentral. Lineage: Bacteria; Bacillati; Chloroflexota; Anaerolineae; Anaerolineales; Anaerolineaceae.